RNAcentral lists this ribosomal RNA (248 nucleotides) under uncultured bacterium. RNAcentral's name for it is "partial 16S ribosomal RNA". It matches the Rfam family "Bacterial small subunit ribosomal RNA", at positions 523 to 769 of the family's 1533-position model. The record is from RNAcentral.
AUACGGAGGAUCCGAGUGUUAUCCGGAUUUAUUGGGUUUAAAGGGUGCGCAGGCGGAAGAUUUAAGUCGGCGGUGAAAUUUUGCAGCUCAACUGUAAAAGUGCCUUCGAAACUGGUUUUCUUGAGUGUGGAUGAAGUAGGCGGAAUUUGUGGUGUAGCGGUGAAAUGCUUAGAUAUCACGAGGAACUCCGAUUGCGCAGGCAGCUUACUAAACCACUACUGACGCUCAUGCACGAAGGCGUGGGGAUC